RNAcentral lists this non-coding RNA (93 nucleotides) under Spirochaeta sp. Its description in RNAcentral is "TPP sequence". It matches the Rfam family "TPP riboswitch aptamer (THI element)". From Rfam's summary of the family: Vitamin B(1) in its active form thiamin pyrophosphate (TPP) is an essential coenzyme that is synthesised by coupling of pyrimidine and thiazole moieties in bacteria. The previously detected thiamin-regulatory element, thi box was extended, resulting in a new, highly conserved RNA secondary structure, the THI element, which is widely distributed in eubacteria and also occurs in some archaea. Lineage: Bacteria; Pseudomonadati; Spirochaetota; Spirochaetia; Spirochaetales; Spirochaetaceae. The record is from RNAcentral. RNAcentral also lists the same sequence under 1 other name.
UCAAUUUGUUAGGGGUGGCUUAUUCAGCCUGAGAACACACCCUCAGAACCUGACCUGGUUAAUGCCAGCGUAGGGAAACGCGCAUCGAUACUG